RNAcentral lists this ribosomal RNA (587 nucleotides) under Salmonella enterica subsp. enterica serovar Infantis. RNAcentral's name for it is "partial 23S ribosomal RNA". It matches the Rfam family "Bacterial large subunit ribosomal RNA", at positions 2216 to 2802 of the family's 2925-position model. RNAcentral also lists the same sequence under 12 other names. The record is from RNAcentral. Lineage: Bacteria; Pseudomonadati; Pseudomonadota; Gammaproteobacteria; Enterobacterales; Enterobacteriaceae.
GAUGUUCUAACGUGGACCCGUAAUCCGGGUUGCGGACAGUGUCUGGUGGGUAGUUUGACUGGGGCGGUCUCCUCCUAAAGAGUAACGGAGGAGCACGAAGGUUGGCUAAUCCUGGUCGGACAUCAGGAGGUUAGUGCAAUGGCAUAAGCCAGCUUGACUGCGAGCGUGACGGCGCGAGCAGGUGCGAAAGCAGGUCAUAGUGAUCCGGUGGUUCUGAAUGGAAGGGCCAUCGCUCAACGGAUAAAAGGUACUCCGGGGAUAACAGGCUGAUACCGCCCAAGAGUUCAUAUCGACGGCGGUGUUUGGCACCUCGAUGUCGGCUCAUCACAUCCUGGGGCUGAAGUAGGUCCCAAGGGUAUGGCUGUUCGCCAUUUAAAGUGGUACGCGAGCUGGGUUUAGAACGUCGUGAGACAGUUCGGUCCCUAUCUGCCGUGGGCGCUGGAGAACUGAGGGGGGCUGCUCCUAGUACGAGAGGACCGGAGUGGACGCAUCACUGGUGUUCGGGUUGUCAUGCCAAUGGCACUGCCCGGUAGCUAAAUGCGGAAGAGAUAAGUGCUGAAAGCAUCUAAGCACGAAACUUGCCCCGA